Molecule: ribosomal RNA, 440 nt
Filed under: uncultured bacterium
Lineage: Bacteria
Description: partial 16S ribosomal RNA
Rfam family: Bacterial small subunit ribosomal RNA
Source: RNAcentral
CCUACGGGUGGCAGCAGUGGGGAAUAUUGCACAAUGGGGGAAACCCUGAUGCAGCGACGCCGCGUGAGUGAAGCAGUAUUUCGGUAUGUAAAGCUCUAUCAGCAGGGAAGAAAAUGACGGUACCUGACUAAGAAUCCCCGGCGAACUACGUUCCAGCAGCCGCGGUAAUACGUAGGGGGCGAGCGUUAUCCGGAUUUACUGGGUGUAAAGGGAGCGUAGACGGCGGAACAAGUCAGAAGUGAAAACCAGGGGCUCAACCCUGGGAGUGCUUUUGAAACUGGUUGGCUGGAGUGCAGUAGAGGUAAGCGGAAUUCCUAGUGUAGCGGUGAAAUGCGUAGAUAUUAGGAGGAACACCAGUGGCGAAGGCGGCUUACUGGACUGUCACUGACGUUGAGGCUCGAAAGCGUGGGGAGCAAACAGGAUUAGAUACCCUUGUAGUC